GUUUUCGGACCUCUGAGGGGAAGCUCUGCCGGAGGUGAGUUGUUUCUCUGCUUUAGAGAGCCUGGGUGCAGUUUCUCCUGGUGGUAGAGUUGUGAACUAAACAUGCCGUUGGUGCUCUCUGUGGCUGUGGAGUCCUUGUGUUCCCAGCAUGGGUGGGAUAGCUGUCAUGCUGCUAGGGCAGAGGCUGAAGUGCUGCAAAGAUGAAACCACUGAACUCUCUCUUUCUGAUGGUUGAGUGGAGAAAGCCUGUGUGAGAUUCUGAGUGGCACUGAGUUCCAGGCCCAGGUCCAAGCUGUGCCCUCAGGCAAAGAGCAUGUGUGUAGGGUACAACCUCGGGCUGGGGUGUUGAGUAUGUUGCUCAUGUGAAGCACCAAGUACAGCUGAGCGCCUGACUCUGUCUUUCCAGGUGUGGAAGCAGUCAGCCAUGYGCCUCCAUGGUUCCUUUGCAGGUGAGCACCUAAGCUUUUCUUCCAUGUCAUGACAAAACAGAUGCAGCCUUUGAGGGUGGGGCAAUAGGAUUUUUCUCCAAGUAGGAGCAAGCACUGUUGUUGCAGCCUUAUCUGCAGGUAGAGGAGGCGGAGCAAGCUUGGGCUGGAGGAGAGCUUGAGGAUCUYRUGGGAGGAGAGCUUGCACAAGCCCMCSUCCUCGUGGGGAAGGUGGCUGGGGYGGUCUCGUAGUGAUGCUCUUGAAAGCUGCCCGCUGGCUUGGCAGUGGAGGAGCACGGCCUUGCUGCAGGCUUUCAGGUCACGGCUGCUCCCUUGCUGUUCAGUGACGAAUGAAAACAGACAAGCAUAUGGCUGAGCGUCUGUGAUGCCAGCUUUUCUCCUGAGAACCAUGGAGCAGAGGUGGUCUAGGGAGCGGGUCAUGUAGGGCUUGGGGCGGAGGAUCGCAAAUAACACCCACUGUCUCUUUCAGCGCUGCGCUGCAGGUCUCGGGGAGCGGCCUGGGCAUCUCUGUCUGCAGCCCCGUUGCUGAUGGCGCUAGGAAAUGGAGCCUGAAGCUGCGCUUGGCCUGCCGCCUGCCCGAGUCCUGCCGCAUGGGAUGAAGGCUGGGGGCCGGGGGCACCCGGCAAAGCUCUGAGCAGCCCGAGCGAAUGGCGUCUGACUGAGGUGGCUGGAGGCAGUGGGCGGCAGCAGCUGGUGAGUGCGGGCGCGGGAUGGGGCUGGGUCCUGCUGCUGCCCUGGCCGAGGAUGAGACGAUACCGCCCCAGUCUGAUGCCCGUGACUGAGUGGUUCCCCCUGAGGCUGGUGGCGGGGGGCUUCUGUGGCGGGGGGUUUCUUCCACAGGGGGUAACGGCUGCCUUGUCCUGCCUGCAGGGCUGAGUCCGCGGGAGUUGUCGCUGCGCUGCCUGGGAGUCCCUGGAGCCCGCUGGGCCCUGCUGUCCUUCGCCCUUCCCAGGAUGGCUGCUGUGUGCUGCUGGAGAAGAGCUGCUGCCUGCGUGUG
RNAcentral lists this long non-coding RNA (1443 nucleotides) under Dromaius novaehollandiae (emu). Lineage: Eukaryota; Metazoa; Chordata; Aves; Casuariiformes; Dromaiidae. The record is from RNAcentral.